AGGGGUCUGACUCAGGGAUCGAGUGUCACCGUGACGUGGUGGAGUUCGUAUCCCUAAAGUCAAUCUGGCUUU
This 72-nucleotide transfer RNA is filed under the name Erodium gruinum. Its description in RNAcentral is "tRNA-Val". The record is from RNAcentral. Lineage: Eukaryota; Viridiplantae; Streptophyta; Magnoliopsida; Geraniales; Geraniaceae.